Molecule: transfer RNA, 65 nt
Filed under: Dipodomys ordii (Ord's kangaroo rat)
Lineage: Eukaryota; Metazoa; Chordata; Mammalia; Rodentia; Heteromyidae
Rfam family: tRNA
About the family: Transfer RNA (tRNA) molecules are approximately 80 nucleotides in length. Their secondary structure includes four short double-helical elements and three loops (D, anti-codon, and T loops). Further hydrogen bonds mediate the characteristic L-shaped molecular structure. tRNAs have two regions of fundamental functional importance: the anti-codon, which is responsible for specific mRNA codon recognition, and the 3' end, to which the tRNAs corresponding amino acid is attached (by aminoacyl-tRNA synthetases). tRNAs cope with the degeneracy of the genetic code in two manners: having more than one tRNA (with a specific anti-codon) for a particular amino acid; and 'wobble' base-pairing, i.e. permitting non-standard base-pairing at the 3rd anti-codon position.
Source: Rfam by way of RNAcentral
GGUGGCUCAGUGGUAGAGCGCUUGCCUCGCAUGCAUGAGGCACUGGGUUUGAUUCCCCAGCACCA